This 602-nucleotide ribosomal RNA is filed under the name Enterococcus faecalis. RNAcentral describes it as "bacterial SSU rRNA". It matches the Rfam family "Bacterial small subunit ribosomal RNA", at positions 69 to 650 of the family's 1533-position model. Lineage: Bacteria; Bacillati; Bacillota; Bacilli; Lactobacillales; Enterococcaceae. The record is from RNAcentral.
CUCCCGAGUGCUUGCACUCAAUUGGAAAGAGGAGUGGCGGACGGGUGAGUAACACGUGGGUAACCUACCCAUCAGAGGGGGAUAACACUUGGAAACAGGUGCUAAUACCGCAUAACAGUUUAUGCCGCAUGGCAUAAGAGUGAAAGGCGCUUUCGGGUGUCGCUGAUGGAUGGACCCGCGGUGCAUUAGCUAGUUGGUGAGGUAACGGCUCACCAAGGCCACGAUGCAUAGCCGACCUGAGAGGGUGAUCGGCCACACUGGGACUGAGACACGGCCCAGACUCCUACGGGAGGCAGCAGUAGGGAAUCUUCGGCAAUGGACGAAAGUCUGACCGAGCAACGCCGCGUGAGUGAAGAAGGUUUUCGGAUCGUAAAACUCUGUUGUUAGAGAAGAACAAGGACGUUAGUAACUGAACGUCCCCUGACGGUAUCUAACCAGAAAGCCACGGCUAACUACGUGCCAGCAGCCGCGGUAAUACGUAGGUGGCAAGCGUUGUCCGGAUUUAUUGGGCGUAAAGCGAGCGCAGGCGGUUUCUUAAGUCUGAUGUGAAAGCCCCCGGCUCAACCGGGGAGGGUCAUUGGAAACUGGGAGACUUGAGUGCA